UAUAUAUUAAUGUAAUGAUGCAUAUUAAUUUUUGAAGUUAAAGGAAAUAGUUUAAUUCUAUUAAAUAUAA
Molecule: transfer RNA, 70 nt
Filed under: Hyposoter sp. ZJUH_2016018
Lineage: Eukaryota; Metazoa; Arthropoda; Insecta; Hymenoptera; Ichneumonidae
Description: tRNA-Gln
Rfam family: tRNA
About the family: Transfer RNA (tRNA) molecules are approximately 80 nucleotides in length. Their secondary structure includes four short double-helical elements and three loops (D, anti-codon, and T loops).
Source: RNAcentral